CAGCCGCCGCGGUAAUACCAGCGCCACGAGUGGCAGCCGCGUUUAUUGGGCCUAAAGCGUCCGUAGCCUGUUUGGUUAAUCUCUUGUGAAAUUGUUGGGCUCAACCCAACAGCGUGCAGGAGACACUUCCAAGCUCGAGACCGGGAGGGGUUAGAAGUAUUCUGGGGGGAACGGUAAAAUGUUAUAAUCCCUGGAGGACUACCUAUGGCGAAGGCAUCUAACCAGAACGGAUCUGACGGUGAGGGACGAAAGCCAGGGGAGCGAACCGGAUUAGAUACCCGAGUAGUCCUGGCUGUAAACGCUGUGAGCUAGGUGUUGCAUAUUCCACGUGAAUAUGCAGUGUCGAAAUGAAGAUGCUAAGCUCACCGCCUGGGAAGUACGGCCGCAAGACUGAAACUUUAAGGAAUUGGCGGGGGCGCACAACAAGGGGUGCGGCGUGCGGUUUAAUCUAACUCAACGCAGAGAACCUUACUAGAAGCGACGGCAGUAUGAAGGUCAGUCUGAAGGGCUUACCUGACGAGCCGAGAGGUGGUGCAUGGCCGUCGUCAGCUCGUGCCGUGAGGUGUCCUCUUAAGUGAGGCAACGAGCGAGAUCUGUGCCUACAAUUGCUAGCGACCUUUGGGAUCGAGCACAUUGUAGGGACUGCCCGGGAAACUGGGGGGAAGGAGCAGGCAACGGUAGGUCUGUAUGCCCCGAAUCUUCUAGGCUACACGCGCGCAACAAUGGUAGGGACAAUGGGAUGCAACUCCGAAAGGAGAAGCUAAACCUCUAAACCCUAUCCCAGUCCGGAUUGAGGCUUGCAACCCAGCCUCAUGAAGACGGAAUCCCUAGUAAUCAGAGUUCAUCAUACUCUGGUGAAUAUGUCCCUGCCCCUUGCACAC
RNAcentral lists this ribosomal RNA (881 nucleotides) under uncultured archaeon. RNAcentral describes it as "bacterial SSU rRNA". It matches the Rfam family "Archaeal small subunit ribosomal RNA", at positions 459 to 1344 of the family's 1478-position model. The record is from RNAcentral.